RNAcentral lists this ribosomal RNA (279 nucleotides) under uncultured bacterium. RNAcentral's name for it is "partial 16S ribosomal RNA". It matches the Rfam family "Bacterial small subunit ribosomal RNA", at positions 506 to 784 of the family's 1533-position model. The record is from RNAcentral.
UGCCAGCAGCCGCGGUAAUACGGAGGGGGGUAGCGUUGUUCGGAAUUACUGGGCGUAAAGCGCACGUAGGCGGACUGGAAAGUAUGGGGUGAAAUCCCAGGGCUCAACCCUGGAACUGCCUCAUAAACUAUCAGUCUAGAGUUCGAGAGAGGUGAGUGGAAUUCCGAGUGUAGAGGUGGAAUUCGUAGAUAUUCGGAGGAACACCAGUGGCGAAGGCGGCUUUCUGGACCGAUACUGACGCUGAGACGCGAAAGCGUGGGGAGCAAACAGGAUUAGAUA